This 996-nucleotide ribosomal RNA is filed under the name Sphingobacterium anhuiense. Its description in RNAcentral is "bacterial SSU rRNA". It matches the Rfam family "Bacterial small subunit ribosomal RNA", at positions 89 to 1087 of the family's 1533-position model. Lineage: Bacteria; Pseudomonadati; Bacteroidota; Sphingobacteriia; Sphingobacteriales; Sphingobacteriaceae. The record is from RNAcentral.
AUGAGAGUGGCGCACGGGUGCGUAACGCGUGAGCAACCUACCCAUAUCAGGGGGAUAGCCUCUCGAAAGAGAGAUUAACACCGCAUAACAUCAUUAACCGGCAUCGGAUUAUGAUCAAAUAUUUAUAGGAUAUGGAUGGGCUCGCGUGACAUUAGCUAGUUGGAGAGGUAACGGCUCACCAAGGCUACGAUGUCUAGGGGCUCUGAGAGGAGAAUCCCCCACACUGGUACUGAGACACGGACCAGACUCCUACGGGAGGCAGCAGUAAGGAAUAUUGGUCAAUGGAGGCAACUCUGAACCAGCCAUGCCGCGUGCAGGAUGACUGCCCUAUGGGUUGUAAACUGCUUUUGUCAGGGAAUAAACCUUUCUACGUGUAGAAAGCUGAAUGUACCUGAAGAAUAAGGAUCGGCUAACUCCGUGCCAGCAGCCGCGGUAAUACGGAGGAUCCAAGCGUUAUCCGGAUUUAUUGGGUUUAAAGGGUGCGUAGGCGGUCCUAUAAGUCAGUGGUGAAAGACGGCAGCUUAACUGUCGCAGUGCCUUUGAUACUGUAGGACUUGAAUCUAUUUGAAGUGGGCGGAAUAAGACAAGUAGCGGUGAAAUGCAUAGAUAUGUCUUAGAACUCCGAUUGCGAAGGCAGCUCACUAAGUUAGUAUUGACGCUGAUGCACGAAAGCGUGGGGAUCAAACAGGAUUAGAUACCCUGGUAGUCCACGCCCUAAACGAUGAUAACUCGAUGUUUGCGAUACACAGUAAGCGUCCAAGCGAAAGCGUUAAGUUAUCCACCUGGGGGAGUACGGUCGCAAGAUUGAAACUCAAAGGAAUUGACGGGGGCCCGCACAAGCGGAGGAGCAUGUGGUUUAAUUCGAUGAUACGCGAGGAACCUUACCCGGGCUUGAAAGUUAGUGAAUGAUCCAGAGACGGAUCAGUCCUUCGGGACACGAAACUAGGUGCUGCAUGGCUGUCGUCAGCUCGUGCCGUGAGGUGUUGGGUUAAGUCC